This is an RNA transcript of Mus musculus (house mouse), 3956 nucleotides long. It is a transcript of the gene named IQ motif containing H, with no coding region annotated. The transcript has 22 exons. The record is from RefSeq and is marked validated. NCBI's taxonomy places the organism in Eukaryota, Metazoa, Chordata, Mammalia, Rodentia, Muridae.
GUCGCGCGCGCCGCGUUGCUAUGGUGACGGGUGCCCGCACCAUCUAGGAGCGCUCCGCAGGAGGCCAUACCUCCGGAGCCUAGUGUCUUCUGCCCUCCUUAGUCAUGGCGCAGGCCCAGGAGGACAGCGACCCCAUUGGAUCCAUCCUAAUCCAGGUUCAUGAGGACCUUCAUCAGUUAAAGGAAAAAUUAGUAAAAUUCUCAGCCGAGGAGACAAGGAGCACUCUAGACAUUCAAAAUCUUGAGACAGCAAUCCAAAGGACUGAAAUGGGGUUAAAGAUUCACAUCGACAAGUAUCUAGGUGUUGUAAACCAGGAGGUGUUAAUGGCUCCUGUGAAGAAAAGCUUGGAAUCCCCUGUCACUUCCAAAUGGUCGAUUCCAACUGUAAUUGACCAGAAAUCCUUUAUUUUCCCCAUGGAUUCUGAUUUUUGGCGACCUCAAAAGCAUCGCGGUUCAUUGCUACACGGCCUUAGAAGAGCAAAGCCAAAGAUACAGUUGACUACGAAGGUCAUGCAGGACCCUGAGAACAAGCACCACAGGGCUGCUGUAACUGCUAGCUAUGGGAUCAGUUUGCCACAUAUUAACCAGAGGAAAGCCCAGGAUAAGGUUCAGCGGUUAAUAAAAGGGUCCACGAUCUCCAACCUCACAGUUCUGCCACCCUCUCAUCGCACUGACCCCCAUUUUAUCCCCAUACCUGUCUUGCAGAAGGAUGCCAGUAAAGGCGUCUUAAGUAUGAUUGAGCGAGGGCUGAUCCCCCCAACAGCGAGGAUUACCUUUCAGAACCCACCCAUUAAACCCCAAGCACUUCCUCUGCACAGUUUUGAUGAGCAUCGUAAGGUACCCAUGGAAGCCUCCUUUCCUCUCGCUCUCAAGCCACGCCCAGUUCCUGAAGAAGUGGAGGAGCCUUCUCACCAGAUAGAAAUACCCAAGGGGAGAGCCAAAAGGUCAAGAGGACCGCUCAGAAGAAAGGGCAUGAAGAUUAGGACACCGUCUAAGACUAGGAAAUCACCAUGGGAUUAUAUAUUUUCUGUUUACAACGGCUGUGUAGACAGGACAGCCCCAGACUUCUUAGCAUUCAAAUCACGCUUCAAAUUAAUCUGGGGGAGUAUUUUUUCUUUCCUGGAACAAAUUGAGAAAUUUCUCAAGGACUAUGCAAUAUCUGAAGCCAAAAUAAAAGGGAAGAGUCUGGUGUCCCUGCUUCCAGAGUUUGAGCUGAAGAACAAAUUAACCAGAAAUGAUGUUCUGGCUGUGUUAGAGAACCCAGUUCACAUUCAGAUGCUGUUAAACCUUCCGGGACAGAGGUACAAGGGCCAAGAUGGAAAGGCAGAAGCUGCCACCAAGAUCCAAGCCACGUGGAAAAGUUACAAGGCAAGAUCUUCUUUCAUUUCUUAUCGCCAGAAGAAAUGGGCCUCAGGUGUGAUCGCCCUGGCGUGGCUUUUACAUUGCCACAGGACAAGACUAAAGAGGAUAGUGAAGGAAUCCCGACAGAGACACCUGGAGAACUUCCGCAUUCGAGCCCAGCAUCUGGCAGCCAACUGGAGUCGCAUCAGGACCUCCAGGAGGACUAUUAUCCAUAUACCAUCAUUAGGGUACUCCCAGUAUGUGAGAAAACACAUUUUUGAUUUGGACGUAGAACAGAACAUGCAGUUGGGGAGGCUGUGCGACAUCAUAGAUGCCAACGUCAAUGUCAUCUACAUCUGUUCCCAUCCUAUGACGGAUGAGUUAAAGCUGUACUACAGGAAACUCCUGAGUCUACAAGCAGCUGUCAAAACGGGGUACUACGGGGAUCGGACUGACCUGCAGAACAGGUUCAGAAUUAUCACCCCUGAAGCUGUAAACGUCUUCACUAAGCAUCACAUGUGCCUGGCCACUCACCUGAUGUACAGUCCCAAGGCAAUCAAAAGAAUAAAAAAUCUCAUCCGAGGAGAAGAGGCCUACAUCGUGGGCGGGAUCCUCCACAGAGACGACUUAGCUGUGGCCGAUAUGCUGAAUGUCCCCAUCCUGGGCUCAGAGCCUGAGCUGGUUCACCUGUACAGUGCCAAGUCUGGAAGCAAGCGGAUCUUUGAUAAUGCUAAUGUGCCAAUGCCUCCUGGAAUAUAUGACAUCUAUACUUACCAACAGAUGAUAGAACAGUUGAGCCAGUUGGUGACUGAUAACCUGGGAAUCCGACGCUGGGUCUUUAAAAUGAACACGGAAUUUGGAGGAAAUGGGACAGCAUUUUGUGACAUUCCUUCCCAUCUACAGUGCUACAACUGGGUGCUGAAGGAAAGAAACAGAUUUGGCCAUGAGGACUGGAAGAAGAAGUGGGCACAAGAGUCAGCUCUGGUGAAGAUCUCCGAGGAGCUGGCGGGCAUUUUAGCACAGCACGUACAGCUAGUCAAUGAGAAACGGUUCCCGACGUGGAGGAAAUUCCUCCACAUGUUUCUCACUCAAGGUGGCGUGAUUGAAGCAUACCCACCUGCAGACAGCGUCACCAACCUCACAGUAGACAUGCUGAUAGAACCUGAUGGAGAAGUCAGGGUGCUGUCAAUGGGAGACCAGCUUCAUGCUGAUGGCCCCUUUAUUUCUUCUGGUACCACCAUGCCUCAGACCUCAGUGGAUCCCCAAGUUCUCAAUUCUUUGUGCCUCCAAAUUGGAAAUAUCUGCAAAGAGAAAGAUGUGGUUGGUUAUUUUUCUAUAGAUCUGGUGACUUUCAUUGAUCCGAGCACCUUAGAGCAGCAGGUAUGGACAACAGGCCUCAACCUCUCAUACAGUGACCAGCUAGCCAUGACGCAGCUCACCCUCUACCUGACAAAUGGUCAUCUGAAUUGUAGUCUGAGCACCCUGGAAGUGCCCCGUUUUACUGAAGAUUCAGAAAGGGAAAGGAAGCGCCUUAGCAUCCAGGCAGAGCUGAUGUGUAAGGCCCAUGGCAUUGGCUAUGACCUUGAGGACAGACAAGGAACUGUUUUUAUAUUAUAUGAAUCUCUGAAGAGAUACAAGUUGGGCAUGUUAUUGCCACCUUGUGAGAUUGAAAAUACUCAUUAAAUUCCAUCACCAGCCACACAAAUGAGAGGGCGAUUGUUUUUAAGCAUGUGAGGAGAAUCGCUGGUAAACUCAUUUGUUUGGAUAUCAUUAACAGAACAAUCGGUGUGGAUCUCCAGGGGGUCCUCAUGACCUUUGCUCGCAAUCUCUUCAUCAUCCAUCAAGAAAUAUCAGCACCUGAUAUGCAAGGCGAGACCAAUUUUAAGACUACCAUUGAUGAUAUUGAAACCAUUUUAGGAGUAACAGAAGAAAAUAAAAUGAUAUUUGUAAGAGAAAAACAGAGCAAAGAGGAGGAAGAUAACCUUUAUGAACCUGUUGAAAUACACUCAGAAAUAGUCUGACUUUGGAUACCUGUCUAGAGCAAGAAAGAAUGUUUGCUUUGCAAUUAGUAUAAAAGUGGGGAAGUUAGUUUGCUUUGUUUGCCAAGAGAUAAAUCAGAACAAAUUGUAAUGUAAUCUUUAAAAUCUUGUUUAUUAUGCAACGUUAUUUUACUCAUUAAAUUUAAACCUACCGGUGUUUUCGGUGUGAAUGCUAAGAACCCCUUCCUCCUCCCAAAGUAACCACGGGGGGGGGGGGGAAGUCCACUACUGCAUCCGCUUCUCUGUAAAUUUGUAACUGUAUGAGUCACUCUUGCUUUCUUGCGUUUUACAAGUUUUCUCCUGCUUCCAAAAGCCACUUAGCUUCUGCAUUUAAAACACCGAAUAAACCAGGAUGACCACUAUUUGUCAAAGCACAGUGUCCUCUUUUCCCAAAAUAAAUGACAUCAGUUUUAAGUGACUAUCAUCCAUUCUACAGUGUACCCAGCCCUAUUACUUGUUCUCACUGUCACACAGUAGGAAAAGCCAAUGUGGAGUUAACUGUGGCAUCAGAGUGUGUCUAGGUGGCAGUAUCUGCUCUGAGUUUAAGACUAUGUAAUUGGAGCCCUUCGCUGGAAUG